AUAUUGGACAAUGGGCGAAAGCCUGAUCCAGCCAUGCCGCGUGAGUGAUGAAGGCCUUAGGGUUGUAAAGCUCUUUUGUCAGGGAAGAUAAUGACGGUACCUGAAGAAUAAGCACCGGCUACCUUCGUGCCAGCAGCCGCGGUAAUACGAAGGGUGCUAGCGUUGUUCGGAAUCACUGGGCGUAAAGCGCGCGUAGGCGGCUUUUCAAGUCAGGGGUGAAAUCCUGGGGCUUAACCCCAGAAUUGCCUUUGAAACUGUAAAGCUUGAGUGUCGGAGGAGAUAGCGGAAUUCCUAAUGUAGAGGUGAAAUUCGUAGAUAUUAGGAGGAACACCGGUGGCGAAGGCGGCUAUCUGGACGACAACUGACGCUGAGGCGCGAAAGCGUGGGGAUCAAACAGG
Molecule: ribosomal RNA, 398 nt
Filed under: uncultured bacterium
Lineage: Bacteria
Description: bacterial SSU rRNA
Rfam family: Bacterial small subunit ribosomal RNA
Source: RNAcentral